RNAcentral lists this ribosomal RNA (250 nucleotides) under uncultured prokaryote. RNAcentral describes it as "partial 16S ribosomal RNA". It matches the Rfam family "Bacterial small subunit ribosomal RNA", at positions 524 to 773 of the family's 1533-position model. The record is from RNAcentral.
UACGUAGGGGGCGAGCGUUGUCCGGAAUUACUGGGCGUAAAGGGUGCGUAGGCGGCAUGGUAAGUCGGAUGUGAAAUCCCCGGGCCUAACUUGGGGGCUGCAUCCGAGACUGUCAAGCUAGUGUGCAGGAGAGGAAAGCGGAAUUCCUAGUGUAGCGGUGAAAUGCGUAGAUAUUAGGAGGAACACCAGUGGCGAAGGCGGCUUUCUGGACUGUAACUGACGCUGAGGCACGAAAGCGUGGGGAGCAAAC